Molecule: ribosomal RNA, 751 nt
Filed under: uncultured Undibacterium sp.
Lineage: Bacteria; Pseudomonadati; Pseudomonadota; Betaproteobacteria; Burkholderiales; Oxalobacteraceae
Description: bacterial SSU rRNA
Rfam family: Bacterial small subunit ribosomal RNA
Source: RNAcentral
AUUGAACGCUGGCGGCAUGCGUUACACAUGCAAGUCGAACGGCAGCACGGACUUCGGUCUGGUGGCGAGUGGCGAACGGGUGAGUAAUAUAUCGGAACAUACCCUAGAGUGGGGGAUAACGUAGCGAAAGUUACGCUAAUACCGCAUACGAACUAAGGUUGAAAGUGGGGGAUCGCAAGACCUCAUGCUCAUGGAGUGGCCGAUAUCUGAUUAGCUAGUUGGUAGGGUAAAAGCCUACCAAGGCGACGAUCAGUAGCUGGUCUGAGAGGACGACCAGCCACACUGGAACUGAGACACGGUCCAGACUCCUACGGGAGGCAGCAGUGGGGAAUUUUGGACAAUGGGGGCAACCCUGAUCCAGCAAUGCCGCGUGAGUGAAGAAGGCCUUCGGGUUGUAAAGCUCUUUUGUCAGGGAAGAAACGGUGAUCGCUAAUAUCGGUUGCUAAUGACGGUACCUGAAGAAUAAGCACCGGCUAACUACGUGCCAGCAGCCGCGGUAAUACGUAGGGUGCAAGCGUUAAUCGGAAUUACUGGGCGUAAAGCGUGCGCAGGCGGUUAUAUAAGUCAGAUGUGAAAUCCCCGGGCUCAACCUGGGAACUGCAUUUGAGACUGUAUGGCUAGAGUGUGUCAGAGGGGGGUAGAAUUCCACGUGUAGCAGUGAAAUGCGUAGAUAUGUGGAGGAAUACCGAUGGCGAAGGCAGCCCCCUGGGAUAACACUGACGCUCAUGCACGAAAGCGUGGGGAGCAAACA